GAUGAACGCUGGCGGCGUGCCUAAUACAUGCAAGUCGAGCGAACAGACGAGGAGCUUGCUCCUCUGACGUUAGCGGCGGACGGGUGAGUAACACGUGGAUAACCUACCUAUAAGACUGGGAUAACUUCGGGAAACCGGAGCUAAUACCGGAUAAUAUAUUGAACCGCAUGGUUCAAUAGUGAAAGACGGUUUUGCUGUCACUUAUAGAUGGAUCCGCGUCGCAUUAGCUAGUUGGUAAGGUAACGGCUUACCAAGGCAACGAUGCGUAGCCGACCUGAGAGGGUGAUCGGCCACACUGGAACUGAGACACGGUCCAGACUCCUACGGGAGGCAGCAGUAGGGAAUCUUCCGCAAUGGGCGAAAGCCUGACGGAGCAACGCCGCGGGAGUGAUGAAGGUCUUCGGAUCGUAAAACUCUGUUAUUAGGGAAGAACAAAUGUGUAAGUAACUAUGCACGUCUUGACGGUACCUAAUCAGAAAGCCACGGCUAACUACGUG
RNAcentral lists this ribosomal RNA (497 nucleotides) under uncultured bacterium. RNAcentral's name for it is "partial 16S ribosomal RNA". It matches the Rfam family "Bacterial small subunit ribosomal RNA", at positions 28 to 507 of the family's 1533-position model. The record is from RNAcentral.